UAAGCGCGCGUAGGCGGUUUUUUAAGUCUGAUGUGAAAGCCCACGGCUCAACCGUGGAGGGUCAUUGGAAACUGGAAAACUUGAGUGCAGAAGAGGAAAGUGGAAUUCCAUGUGUAGCGGUGAAAUGCGCAGAGAUAUGGAGGAACACCAGUGGCGAAGGCGACUUUCUGGUCUGUAACUGACGCUCAUGUGCGAAAGCGUGGGGAUCAAACAGGAUUAGAUACCCUGGUAGUCCACGCCGUAAACGAUGAGUGCUAAGUGUUAGGGGGUUUCCGCCCCUUAGUGCUGCAGCUAACGCAUUAAGCACUCCGCCUGGGGAGUACGACCGCAAGGUUGAAACUCANAGGAAUUGACGGGGACCCGCACAAGCGGUGGAGCAUGUGGUUUAAUUCCAAGCAACGCGAAGAACCUUACCAAAUCUUGACAUCCUUUGACCCUUCUAGAGAUAGAAGUUUCCCCUUCGGGGGACAAAGUGACAGGUGGUGCAUGGUU
RNAcentral lists this ribosomal RNA (492 nucleotides) under Staphylococcus hominis subsp. novobiosepticus. RNAcentral's name for it is "bacterial SSU rRNA". It matches the Rfam family "Bacterial small subunit ribosomal RNA", at positions 562 to 1050 of the family's 1533-position model. The record is from RNAcentral. Lineage: Bacteria; Bacillati; Bacillota; Bacilli; Caryophanales; Staphylococcaceae.